RNAcentral lists this ribosomal RNA (207 nucleotides) under uncultured delta proteobacterium. Its description in RNAcentral is "partial 16S ribosomal RNA". It matches the Rfam family "Bacterial small subunit ribosomal RNA", at positions 568 to 774 of the family's 1533-position model. The record is from RNAcentral. Lineage: Bacteria; Deltaproteobacteria.
CGUGUAGGCGGUUUUUUAAGUCUGAUGUGAAAGCCCCGGGCCUAACCUGGGAAGUGCAUUGGAAACUGGAAGACUUGAGUACGGGAGAGGGUAGUGGAAUUCCUAGUGUAGGAGUGAAAUCCGUAGAUAUUAGGAGGAACACCGGUGGCGAAGGCGGCUGCCUGGACCGAUACUGACGCUGAGACGCGAAAGCGUGGGGAGCAAACA